Long non-coding RNA from Bactrocera neohumeralis, 780 nucleotides. RefSeq lists it as uncharacterized. The transcript has 3 exons. NCBI's taxonomy places the organism in Eukaryota, Metazoa, Arthropoda, Insecta, Diptera, Tephritidae. The record is from RefSeq and is a predicted model, not a curated record.
CACUGCUCCUGCAGAGGCUAAUGAACGGCAGAAAAGGAUGGAGUCUCGUUCUAAAAAAGAGAUGUUAACAACAAUGUUAUAGAAUGCCGCCCCUGUUGAAGUAAUUCAAGAAGACGAGGUUGGAGAUGCACCUCAAACUGCAGCAGAGGAGGUCAUCGAUGCGAAAGACGAGAAAAUACUGCAUUUGGAAACAGAAAUACAAAGACUGAAUAGUGUUGUUAGAACUUUAAAGAAGUGCAAAAACGAGCAGUCAGCAGAAAUUAAACGCCUUAGGAUUUCCAUUAAAACCUCGGAAUUCCACAGAAAUAAUUUGGAGCAAAAACUUAGCUGCAUUUUCACCAACGGCCAAGUAAUAUUUUUCAACGUGUGUCAGUUGAUCUAAAUUCCACAGACCCAUUUGAAAAAAAUGAUGACUUGGAGAUUCUCAACAACGACGGACUUGAGAAUUUGGCAGGGUACAUCUGCCACAAACUCGGUAAAGACAGAAAGAAAUUUGUGCCAAUUCAGAAAAUUGUUCGUCUUAUACUAGGGUGGAUCACCUUUCUGAAGGAGGACUCUCAAAACCAACAGAUACAUAUGUAUGUUGUGCUCCAUCAACAUGUGAGACCCUUGCAAGCAGUAUUUGACGAUGUAAAUGGUACUGAUUUGCAUAUACAUAUGUAUGUACAAAUUACGCCCAGAAGCACUUAGAUUUAAGAAAUUUUGUAAAUUGCAGCUCGAAAGUAAAAUAAUUGUUUUUCAGAGCUAGAAUGUAUUUUAGGAUUCGUUCCUUAAAUAAAA